RNAcentral lists this ribosomal RNA (406 nucleotides) under uncultured bacterium. Its description in RNAcentral is "partial 16S ribosomal RNA". It matches the Rfam family "Bacterial small subunit ribosomal RNA", at positions 30 to 526 of the family's 1533-position model. The record is from RNAcentral.
AUUGAACGCUGGCGGCAGGCCUAACACAUGCAAGUCGAACGAGUGGCGGACGGGUGAGUAAUGUCUGGGAAACUGCCUGAUGGAGGGGGAUAACUACUGGAAACUGUAGCUAAUACCGCAUACCAUAGGAUGAGCCCAAGUGGGAUUAGGUAGUUGGUGGGGUAAAGGCUCACCAAGGCGACGAUCCCUAGCUGGUCUGAGAGGAUGACCGGCCACACUGGGACUGAGACACGGCCCAGACUCCUACGGGAGGCAGCAGUGGGGAAUAUUGCGCAAUGGGGGCAACCCUGACGCAGCCAUGCCGCGUGAGUGAAGAAGGCCUUCGGGUUGUAAAGUUCUUUCGGUAGGGAGGCGUUAACUACAGAAGAAGCACCGGCUAACUCCGUGCCAGCAGCCGCGGUAAUAC